UAAGUACUUCCUUCAUUCGAAAAUAUUUGCCAUCAAAAUAAAUAAAAGAUGUAUCUAGAACUAAAAUAUAUCUAGAUACAUCAUCUUUUAUCCAUUUUAAUGACAAAUAUUUCCUGACGAAGAAAGUAUAGU
Molecule: non-coding RNA, 132 nt
Organism: Triticum urartu
Lineage: Eukaryota; Viridiplantae; Streptophyta; Magnoliopsida; Poales; Poaceae
Source: Rfam